This 360-nucleotide long non-coding RNA is filed under the name Ananas comosus (pineapple). Its description in RNAcentral is "long non-coding RNA (ACOM_LNC037629)". The record is from RNAcentral. Lineage: Eukaryota; Viridiplantae; Streptophyta; Magnoliopsida; Poales; Bromeliaceae.
UUCUUCUUAACUUUUAAAAAUUUAUAUUUUAUCAUUUUAAAAUUUCAAGUUGUUGCAUUUAGCCUCCUUCCAUUAUGGUUCCAUCACUAUUUCGUCUAUUAAUUUUUUAUAAUUUAUAUCAAAAAUACCUUUUAAAAUGACAAAAAUAUAUUAAAAAAUUAUUUUUUCUUAUAGAAGAAGAGUAAUUUGGUCAUUUUGCUCUUUCUAUUGGUGCAGUACUCUCCUGAAAAUAUUUUUGAAAUUUUAAAGGGGCAAAAUGUAGAAUUUCGAAAGUCAGUAAGAAAAAAUAAAAAAAUAAGUAUUUACAGGAGGGCUUUCCGUAAUUUAGCCUUUUUUAUUUUUGUUUAAUGUAUUGUUUAA